RNAcentral lists this ribosomal RNA (489 nucleotides) under uncultured bacterium. Its description in RNAcentral is "partial 16S ribosomal RNA". It matches the Rfam family "Bacterial small subunit ribosomal RNA", at positions 28 to 507 of the family's 1533-position model. The record is from RNAcentral.
GAUGAACGCUAGCUACAGGCUUAACACAUGCAAGUCGAGGGGCAGCAUGAACUUAGCUUGCUAAGUUUGAUGGCGACCGGCGCACGGGUGAGUAACACGUAUCCAACCUGCCGAUGACUCGGGGAUAGCCUUUCGAAAGAAAGAUUAAUACCCGAUGGCAUAGUUCUUCCGCAUGGUAGAACUAUUAAAGAAUUUCGGUCAUCGAUGGGGAUGCGUUCCAUUAGGUUGUUGGCGGGGUAACGGCCCACCAAGCCUUCGAUGGAUAGGGGUUCUGAGAGGAAGGUACCCCACAUUGGAACUGAGACACGGUCCAAACUCCUACGGGAGGCAGCAGUGAGGAAUAUUGGUCAAUGGACGAGAGUCUGAACCAGCCAAGUAGCGUGAAGGAUGACUGCCCUAUGGGUUGUAAACUUCUUUUAUACGGGAAUAAAGUGAGGCACGUGUGCCUUUUUGUAUGUACCGUAUGAAUAAGGAUCGGCUAACUCCGUG